This is a long non-coding RNA of Actinia tenebrosa (Australian red waratah sea anemone), 339 nucleotides long. The record is from RefSeq and is a predicted model, not a curated record. NCBI's taxonomy places the organism in Eukaryota, Metazoa, Cnidaria, Anthozoa, Actiniaria, Actiniidae.
AUUGAACGCGUUGCUUCGAAGGUCCAGAUGUUAAAAAGAAAGGCGGAACAGUUUUUCUCUGAUUUACUUCCAUAAAUCUCCGUUUAAAAGGCAGUGUUACCGUAUAUGUUUGACCAAAUCUUGAGUUGAUCUUUGGACUUCAACCCAAAAUGAAAACGAUCCCGAAGACCUCGCAAAAGUCAUGAAAGAAAGAGCUACAAAAGCCAAAUGUCGAUCGAGAAAUCUAAACCUAGCGAAGAGAGAAUAUUUACAUCUCCCCAUUUACGUGCAAGUUAAGGUAUUAGAAUACGUUUAUGACCACAAAUAACGCGCUGGCUUUAUAGCAUAACACAAACAAAG